Molecule: ribosomal RNA, 522 nt
Filed under: uncultured Rhizophagus
Lineage: Eukaryota; Fungi; Glomeromycota; Glomeromycetes; Glomerales; Glomeraceae
Description: SSU rRNA
Rfam family: Eukaryotic small subunit ribosomal RNA
Source: RNAcentral
UGUUAGGGCACGACACCGGAGAGGGAGCCUGAGAAACGGCUACCACAUCCAAGGAUGGCAGCAGGCGCGCAAAUUACCCAAUCCCGACACGGGGAGGUAGUGACAAUAAAUAACAAUACGGGGUUCUUUAGGAUCUCGUAAUUGGAAUGGAUUACAAUUUAAAUCUCUUAACGAGGAACAAUUGGAGGGCAAGUCUGGUGCCAGCAGCCGCGGUAAUUCCAGCUCCAAUAGCGUAUAUUAAAGUUGUUGCAGUUAAAAAGCUCGUAGUUGAAUUUCGGGGUUAGUAGGUUGGUCAUGCCUCUGGUAUGUACUGGUCUCACUGAUUCCUCCUUCCUGAUGAACCUUAAUGCCAUUAAUUUGGUGUUUUGGGGAAUUUGGACUGUUACUUUGAAAAAAUUAGAGUGUUUAAAGCAAGCUAACGCUUGAAUACAUUAGCAUGGAAUAAUGAAAUAGGACGUUCGAUCCUAUUUUGUUGGUUUCUAGGAUUGACGUAAUGAUUAAUAGGGAUAGUUGGGGGCAUUA